Molecule: small RNA, 665 nt
Filed under: Pongo abelii (Sumatran orangutan)
Lineage: Eukaryota; Metazoa; Chordata; Mammalia; Primates; Hominidae
Description: retained intron
Source: RNAcentral
UCUAUCUGGAAACCUACUAUGCUGUACUUACUGCUCCCCACUUCCCCCACCCCGGCUGUCUGAGAAACUCUCAGGGGUCCUCAAAGAACAGUUUGAAAAGCCCAUCUCUUUGCCCCUACAUCAGACUCAGCCUUAUGGAAGAGGAUGAGGAAGAAGAGUUAGAAAUUCAGGAUGAGUCAAUUGAAGAACGGCAGGAUACAGACAUGCAAGCAAGUAGCUACUCUUCCCCCAGUGAGCGCGGGCUGGACCUCUUAGAUUCUACAGAGCUGGAUAUUGAGGAUUUCUGACAGGACUCUGGGCCCCUCCCCAGCUCCACUCCCUACCUCAAGAAUGUGACCAUUUGGAAAAGGCAAAGAGAAAAGGAGCACAAUGAAGCAUUCCCCCAGGCUUCAGCCCUGGGCUCUGAGGGGAAAGAGUUGGGCAUUGUUUUUCUAACCUAACCUUUCCCUCCGGUGAUGUUGGGGUAGAGAAGCCGAGAGACCCCGUCCUCCCUAAUGCACUGUGGCCCAGUCCCCCUGCCUUUUUCCUGUUCUGUUUGGAGUGGAGAGGGGCAGCACUUCUCUGUGUUUAAUGGAAACAGCCUGUAGUUUCCUGGAUUUUUGGAACAUCUUUCUCAGCCUAUUUUGUGUCCUAAUGAUUCGCUCAAUAAACAUGUUUGAAUCCAC